Esox lucius (northern pike) is the source of this 1692-nucleotide long non-coding RNA. The record is from Ensembl. Lineage: Eukaryota; Metazoa; Chordata; Actinopteri; Esociformes; Esocidae.
GUCAGGACAAGCAGAGGCACACAGUCAGCAUAUAGAGGGAGAGAGAGAGACAAACACAGGAGAUGAGAGAGAAAGGAACCGUGACAGUGACAAAGUAUGAAGAGAAAUUACAUUGUCAAACAGAGACAUUUUUGAAAAUGUAUUUUAGAAAGAGAUAGUGAGGAAAAAAAAUUGAAAUACAGACAAACACACUUAGGGGUGUGUCAUGGCAAUUUAGUUCCUCAAGGAAGUACAACAGGAAAUUAUCUUGAGACAGGGUGGUAAGCAGCACAGACUGAAGCGAUACAGAGGAUUUUCUUUUGUUUUCACUGGGUAAGAUGAGGGGAUUCCAUUGACACUCUGUGCUGACAAACAACACGUGCUCUGGGGACUGAAACAUUCGACACACAGGAGAGUGGAGGACUCAGACACAGUCAGAGUCAUGCUGGAACAGGUACACACGGAACACUAACAGACAUGGCUUUACGACCGGAGAGCUUUAUGCUGGAGAUUGCACAAUGAAACACUGAAUUGGGUGUCGUCUUCAACAACAACUCUUCAAAGACUGAGAAUGCUACAAAAUCUGAGAACUCUUGAAUGACAAACGGCCAGCAUUCAACCACAAGCAUUCAUGGAAUAAACACAAUCAGUAAAACACCAAUGAAGUGGUACUUUUGUGAUGUACUGUGUUAUUUAGCCACACACAGUCUGAUCUGGAAAAAAACAUAAAGGAGUGCUGAGAGAGAAUAGCAGGAAAUUGGGAAAGAAGGGCCUGGGCCUACACAUAGGAUAAUGGCAACAUGAGUUUGUGGACUAGUCAGAAUAUUCUAGAAACAGUGGAUGUGUCAUGUUUACUGCAGCAUGGCACCCUGCAUCCAACUGGUUCUCAAUUCAGGUCAACCCAUGUGUGGGAGAUCAGGUAUUUCUGGAUGUGGUGUUGGAGGGCAGUAUCCCAAUUUCCCUUGGGCUGUGAAGGGGACAUUGUCUUGCGUAGAGUGUCAUCUUGCAGAUGGUUAAAAGGCUGAUCUGAAUGUGUGUGCUCUCUAAGGUGGCCAUUGCACUUAUCAUGAGUAACCCAGAUGUCCUGACUACAUUUUCCAUCAGGACAUCAUAUCACCAUACACCUGAACAUUCCUAGGUUCCAAGUGGUUCAUUCUUGCCCUCUCCUAAAAAUCUAAAAGACUAAAUGUGAAAAAGGUAGUAAAUAUAAAUUACUUAAUGUGAUAAAUGUAUGCAAACAAAUACGUUGCGCUGGAUAGACCCCAUAUCAACUGGAGGGGGACUACAAUACUCAGCGGGUCUCGGUCUGACAGAAGUGAUGAGAGCAUCCAGGGUUAGUCGUGGACAUCAUGCUUCUAAUGGCUGUAGUAGAAGUCAACAUCUGUCCAGGCAAGUCAAAGGGACUCCCGAAGUCCUGUGAAAGUCCAAAGGAUUUACCGCCACAAACACAUACACACAGACACACCCGUACAUACACACACACACCCUCACAGACACUCUAGGUCUGUGCUGAAUCUGUGGAAUGCUAAAUAUUUACCUCACCCGUAUGCCUGCCUGCCUGUGCGGAAUCCUCCAAUCAGCACUAUCUCCAGUCUGUCAAGCAUAGCUCUCCUGGAUUCACCCAACCUGGCCUCAACUGGAGUCAAGGAAAACUCACAUUUUUUUUGAGUCAAAUGUAUCUCUUGAGUGCUUUUCAAAAUAUUUGCACAUGGC